RNAcentral lists this unclassified non-coding RNA (374 nucleotides) under plant metagenome. RNAcentral's name for it is "partial contains 5.8S ribosomal RNA, internal transcribed spacer 2, and large subunit ribosomal RNA". The stretch from base 1 to 106 matches the Rfam family "5.8S ribosomal RNA", at positions 51 to 154 of the family's 154-position model. The record is from RNAcentral.
AAAUGCGAUACUUGGUGUGAAUUGCAGAAUCCCGUGAACCAUCGAGUUUUUGAACGCAAGUUGCGCCCGAAGCCAUCCGGCUGAGGGCACGCCUGCCUGGGCGUCACGCAUCGCGUCGCUCCCCACCAUACCUCCCCAACGGGUUGGCAUGGUGUUGGGGGCGGAUAAUGGCCUCCCGUGCUUGUGUUUCGGUUGGCCUAAAUAAGAGUUCCCUUCGGCGGACACACGACUAGUGGUGGUUGAAUAGACCCUCGUCUUUUGUUGCGUGUCGUGAGCUGUAAGGGUAGCCCUCAUCAAAGACCCCAUUGUAUCGUCUUCGGAUGAUGCUUCGACCGCGACCCCAGGUCAGGCGGGACUACCCGCUGAGGUUAAGC